RNAcentral lists this long non-coding RNA (367 nucleotides) under Vombatus ursinus (common wombat). RNAcentral's name for it is "lncRNA (ENSVURG00010003175.1)". The record is from RNAcentral. Lineage: Eukaryota; Metazoa; Chordata; Mammalia; Diprotodontia; Vombatidae.
GUGAACUACUGUGACAUGGUGGGCAACGUCAUCCGGGCGCAGGGGAGCACCCUCAGUGGCAAGGCCUUGUGUGCACCAGAAGAAAUGAACAGAUUCUUUUCAUCUCCGUUUUCCAAGGCUAUCGUGCUGGACUGUUUCUGGUGGAUCUUUCAUGAAAGAUACGAUGUAAGGAAGGAAGGCGGAGCAGAUGAAGUCUGGCUCCAGGAGAGAGGAGGGAAGUGAUGAAAACUCAUCGCUGCCCUGAUGUCUCUUUGGUGCCUCUGGGCUCAGGGCUGUAGCCAUGACCGUCCUUAAGACUUCCCAACAGUUUGGCAGACAGACUCGGAGGUUGGGCUUGUCCUCCCAUGACGCCUCGUCUUAGGUGAAG